RNAcentral lists this ribosomal RNA (433 nucleotides) under uncultured bacterium. RNAcentral describes it as "partial 16S ribosomal RNA". It matches the Rfam family "Bacterial small subunit ribosomal RNA", at positions 29 to 507 of the family's 1533-position model. The record is from RNAcentral.
AACGAACGCUGGCGGCAGGCUUAACACAUGCAAGUCGAACGCACCUUUCGGGGUGAGUGGCCGACGGGUGAGUAACGCGUGGGAAUCUACCCUUCUCUACGGGAUAGCUCCGGGAAACUGGAAUUAAUACCGUAUACGUCCUGAGGGAGAAAGAUUUAUCGGGGAAGGAUGAGCCCGCGUUGGAUUAGCUAGUUGGUGGGGUAAAGGCCUACCAAGGCGACGAUCCAUAGCUGGUCUAAGAGGAUGAUCAGCCACUUUGGGACUGAGACACGGCCCAAACUCCUACGGGAGGCAGCAGUGGGGAAUAGUGGACAAUGGGCGCAAGCCUGAUCCAGCCAUGCCGCGUGAGUGAUGAAGGCCCUAGGGUUGUAAAGCUCUUUCAGGGGGGACGAUAAUGACGGUACCCACAGAAGAAGCCCCGGCUAACUUCGUG